Molecule: RNA transcript, 2264 nt
Organism: Vidua chalybeata
Lineage: Eukaryota; Metazoa; Chordata; Aves; Passeriformes; Viduidae
Gene name: thymosin beta-12-like
Exons: 4
Source: RefSeq, a predicted model, not a curated record
UCAAAUACUCAAAUCCCUAAGGAGCUUCCAUGAACAAUGGAAACCCACAGCAGCAAACCCCUCGGAAAAUACAUUUGGUCACAGGCUGGGGCGUUCAGUCCAUGACCCAGCGUUCUUAAUGCCAGCGCUGCCUUCGUGACCACAGGCGAUUUAGGGACUGCCCUUCUUGCAACUGCCGGGACCAAGCUGGCUGUCAGGGAGCUGCGAGGCCGAUGCUGUCAGCGCGCCAAGCCCCCCGGCAGGGGCACCCGGCGGCUCCGCGGAGAAGGGAGCAGCCUGGGCGCACAACUCCUGGAGGAGCCGGGCUGUCAGCGCUGCCUGCGCGGUGCCCCCGACGCCAGCCUGGGAGACGCUCCCGCCUCUUGACAGCUCCGCGCGAGCGGCUGCAGCAGCUCGGCAGGAGGAAGUUCCCGCGCCCCGCUCGGGCCGGUGCCAGAAGGUUCCUGAAGCCUGACGUGACACCGAGCGGCCCGAGCGGGGACCCCCGCGCAUGCGCCCCGCGCCCCUCACCGUUGCCGGGUGACUCGCCCUCCCCGCCGUCCUCAGCACCACCGGCAGGUUCCUCCGCCUCUUCCUACCCCGGGGGCCGGCGCGGGCCUCUCCUCGCCGCUCCGCUCUCCUCGCAGCCCUCCUCCGCCGGCCGCUGCCCGCGCCGUGUGCCGCGGCCGCCGCGCUGCCGGACCCGACGCCGUCCGUGCCCUCACAGCCGCUCCGAGCUCCCAGCCGCGAGCGGGGGGUCCCCGACGGCAGCGGCGGCGACGGGCGGAAGUGACGCGCUGACUGACAGCCUCAUCAACAACAAUAAAGAUACUGAAUCAGAACAAGCUGGCAAUUUUGUUGAUGAAACACGGGGGAGAGCGGACUCCAGCUGGCUCUUCAGCAGAUCCAUUGGCCAGUUGACAGGAAUAAAACUGCAAGAAACCUGACACAGAAAGCACAUGCGGUGAGAGGAGACAGACAGCAGAGGCAGGCAGGUUCUAUGACUGGUCAUCGAAGAGAAGAUCAGCAUCUCCCCUUGCCUUUAAGGGAAGCUGCAGGGUGUGAUGAGAUCCCCCCUCUGUCUCUUCAUCUCUGAGCUGAACAAAUGCCGUGAGCUAAUCUGCUCUUUGAAAAGCCAUUCAUAAGCACAAAUCACUAUUGCCUGUAUGUGUCACAGAAGAACUGGAGCCAUGUUUCCUUCAUGUAUCGUCAGUUCCCAUCAUGAACUAGUGUGGCUUGAGAAUAAAUAUUCUCUGAAGAAUUUAGCUUACAAUUAAGUCUACUUCCAGCAAGAGCCCUGCAUUACACCUCAUCAGAAAUUGAAGAAACUGAAAGAAAAAUAUCCUUAUCCCAACUGUGCUCACUGUUGUACAAGGCUUAGUAAAAACUGAGCUAAAAUACUCCAGAACAUAAAUCAUCUUUGCAAAGCCGUAGAAUGCUUGGAAGGUUGAUAGCCUGCCAUACAAUUCCUUACCUUCAUAUUAGGUUAUUAUCUUACUAGGAGGAAAUGGGAAUCUGACAUGUAGCAAAACAAGACAUCAUCUGUUGUAAUACCGUAUAUGCCAAACAGUUUUUCCUGGAAAUUAUCUGUAUAUCAGCAGAGUCAGCUUUUGGGUUUAAUUGUUCACCUACAAAUUAUUUGAUACAUUUUUCUGAACUUGGAAGUGCUCAAUUUUUGCCUUAAGUGGAUCCUAUUGAUAUCUUACAAAAAAUAUUGACAGCGAAUCCUUUCAACACCAAGGAAGAAUUAGCAAACCCUUUCCAACUGGAUGCUCUGCGAAGAGCUUUCCUUUCUUGCAUAUUUCAUCUACAAACAGACAUGUCCCCAAGCUGAGUCUUUACUUUGUUCUUCUCCAGCAUUGUAGCAUUUUCUAACGAAUGUUGUGUUUCAGGAUGCCCAGCACAUAGCGCUUGGCCUUGCUGAACAUCUAUAACUCUCCAUGGAAACUCUCAUAUCAGCAAGUACUCAGUUGUUCUAAUUCAUGGUGUCCAAAAGGGCACCUAAGAAUCAAAGUUCAGUUUAAAGUUUUGCCCUGUAUUAAAAAAUGAGGUUUCACAACACUCAAGCAAACAGGUUAAAGGAUCUAUUUUAUAGAAACACAAACUCCAGCCGAGAGAAAACCAUUCAUCAUUUCAAAGACUGUCAGCCAUUACUAGACACAUAUGUAAGGAUUUUUUUUAACUAAAUUCAGUAUCAAAGGCACAUGUUCUGCGUAAAUGUCAGACAUUUUUACUCAUUUUUCUACUAGAGUUCUGUGAUUAAAAUAAACAUUUACAGCAUGAGA